AAUAGAUACCCAGGUAGUCCACGCCGUAAACGAUGAGUGCUAAGUGUUGGGGGGUUUCCGCUCCUCAGUGCUGCAGCUAACGCAUUAAGCACUCCGCCUGGGGAGUACGGUCGCAAGACUGAAACUCAAAGGAAUUGACGGGGGCCCGCACAAGCGGUGGAGCAUGUGGUUUAAUUCGAAGCAACGCGAAGAACCUUACCAGGUCUUGACAUCCCGGUGACCACUAUGGAGACAUAGUUUCCCCUUCGGGGGCAACGGUGACAGGUGGUGCAUGGUUGUCGUCAGCUCGUGUCGUGAGAUGUUGGGUUAAGUCCCGCAACGAGCGCAACCCUUAUUCUUAGUUGCCAUCAUUCAGUUGGGCACUCUAAGGAGACUGCCGGUGAUAAACCGGAGGAAGGUGGGGAUGACGUCAAAUCAUCAUGCCCCUUAUGACCUGGGCUACACACGUGCUACAAUGGACGGUACAAACGGUUGCCAACCCGUGAGGGGGAGCUAAUCCGAUAAAACCGUUCUCAGUUCGGAUUGUAGGCUGCAACUCGCCUAC
Molecule: ribosomal RNA, 544 nt
Filed under: uncultured bacterium
Lineage: Bacteria
Description: bacterial SSU rRNA
Rfam family: Bacterial small subunit ribosomal RNA
Source: RNAcentral